CCUGAAGCAACCAAUCGUGGCCAACAGGCAGUGAGCUCAGAACACAGGAGCCCGCAUUCAUGUGGAGGGAAGAGCAUUGAAUGUUCACUACUGCUGACCUUCAUAUAAUUUGAAACUAGUGAGAUGUGGGGAAGCUCGAAUCCUGAGGCUGAAAAAUAUCUGUAACAAUGCAAUUCAUAAAUGGAAGUGAAGAUUCAUUGAGAUUUCUGCAGAAGUAACAAUUCUGUAGUUUUCUAACAAAAGAAAGAGGUGAAAUAUUUAUUAUUUUUGAGUUGUCCUAGUCAGAGAUAUAAAACUAAUAAAUCUCAGUAGUACAAUCUGAGAUGACAGGACAGGGAGUGCAGGAAAGAUGGGCUUUUUGCUAAAGCUCUGGGAUAGAUAAAGAAUUCUUGCAUGGUAAAUAUUUCUCAAUGAGGUAUGGUCUUUUGAGUUCAGCCAUUUGAGGUCAUGUGCAAUUCAGAGCAAUAAGGAUUCAGUGAUUUUAAAAUAAAAACUUCUUGCUUUUGUAAUAUUACCUAGCACUUUGGGAUAAAAUGUUAAUCAUUGAUUUUCUGUUGAAACUCAGAUUUCUGCUGGGCUAGUAACUCAUUCUAAGUAGUCUUCCUGUGUGGAUGAUGAACUGGACUGUCUGGGAGACAGUGUAUAUCAGCAAAACACCUCAGGAUUCAGAUUAUUGAUGAAAAUUGAGAUGGAGUCACUGGGCAGAGCUGUGUAAAGGAGGAGGGAAGGGGAGGUACAUACAGCAUUUGCCUUCCCAGCCCUCUGUGGUUCUUCUGCCAAGAGCAUCCCCUUUUGGGGUUGAACUGUUUCUACCUCACUUCAGUAUUGUGGUUCAGUGGGUCCCAAUCUGAUUGCUCUGCUUUCCUGGGUACAGGAUGGGUGUGUGACUCAAAGGCAUUGAAAUCCUUGAGAGAUGAUGUUUAACCUGGAAACAAGGGAAGAGAGUCCCUUCUUCUCUCACAGCAAAGAUGAUACAAUCACUGGCCAUGGUUAUAGGCUUGAGGAGAAUGCCAGUUUGAGUGGAUAAAAUGAUGUGAAGAGAGAAGCAAAGUUAGAAAGGGAAGAUAUAGGCUGGGUAAAGUGGCUUAAGCCUGUAGUCCCUGCACUUUGGGAGGCCAAGGCGGGCGGAUCACUGAAGUCAGGAGUUCAAGACUAACCUGGCCAACAUGGUGAAACCCUGUCUCUACUAAAAAUACAAAAAUUAGCCAGGACAGUGGCGGGCGCCUGUAAUCCCAGCUACUAGGGAGGCUGCGGCAGAAGAAUCACUUGAACCCAGGAAGCGGAGGUUGCAUUGAGCUGAGAUUGCGCCACUGCACUCCAGCCUGAGCAACAGAGUAAGACCCUGUUUCAAAAAAAAAAAGAGAGAGAGAAAGAAAAGAGAAAAGAAAACAAAACCAAAGAAAGACAUACACAGAUGGUCAGGUGCAGUGGCAUGUGCCUGUAAUCUUUGCCAGUUGGAAGGCUGAGGUGGGAGGAUUGCUUGAGUCCAGGAGUUCAAGGCCGCAUUGUGCUGUGGUGAUGCUACUGGACUCCAGCCUGAGCAACAGAGCAAUACCCUGUCUCUAAACAAACAAACAAAACAGAAAGACAUACAGAGAUGCAUACCUCACAGCAUUUGGGUUUUCUGUUUGGGUUGACCUAGAAGUGCAGCCUUACUUACCCUUGUCCGCCCACCCUGAGGUUUGGUUUCAGGUUCCAUGCAUGGAUCCAUUUCUCUUCUGCCCAAGCUGGUUGGAGUUGGAUAUCUGUCACUUUCAAUUAAAAGAGUCCAGGGGUACAGCUCAGGGCAUCAGGCUCAGGCCACCCAGCAUUCCUAUAGGGUGGAGGAGACUAGGCUAUUGCCUGCUUUUCAUGAGAAAACAAGGAGUAGCACGAAAAGUAUCUUGAACCCUAGACUAAGAGCAAACGAGAGAGAUCUGGUUUCCACUCCCACCGUUAAUGUGUGGUUAAUCUUGGAUGAGUUACUUUCUGGUUCUUCCCUUUCUACACUCCAAAUUUCUGUGUAUUUGAACAUUUAAAAGUGAUCAUGUGGCCAGGCAUGGUGGCUCACGCCUGUAAUCCCAGCAUUUUGGGAGGCCGAGGUGGUUGGAUCACGAAAUCAG
This 2102-nucleotide long non-coding RNA is filed under the name Homo sapiens (human). Its description in RNAcentral is "HSALNT0150658". The record is from RNAcentral. Lineage: Eukaryota; Metazoa; Chordata; Mammalia; Primates; Hominidae.